CCCGCCCCUACCCGCCCGCCCUGCCCCGGGGCGGAGGCGGCAGCCCUGUCCUGCCUGCGCUCCACUGCUUACAGUGCGGCUGUCUGUUGUCCCGGGACCCUGCUUCAGACAGGUUUCGGUAUUGUCAUUUCACAAAGUCAAGAAAGGAAUGAGUUCAGUCCACAUCCUCUUGGACGUAUUGUUGAUUCCACAUAUAAGGGAUGUCAUAUGGUAUUUCUUCUUCUAUCUCUGACUUACUUCAAAUGAACUUAUGGUUGCCAGGAGCAACGUUUCUGGAUCUUCAAAGAGGAGGGUCGGUUUCAUCCAUCUAGCCCUUUCCUUAGGCUGGCACCCUGCAAACCUUUCCCCGAGAACCAGGCUGAUGGUUUAUAUUUAUUCUUGGCUAUGCCGCUCGGCUUGCAGGAUCCUAGUUCCUCAACCAGGGAUUGAACCCAGCCCCUGGCAAUGGAUGCUUGGAGUCCUAGCCACUGGAAUGCAGGGAAUUCCGAAUUACAUGGCUUCGAUUACAUGGAAUCUUAUUAAGUUUGGUUUACCUGCUAUGUCUUGGACUGAGAGAUGUUUGUUGUUCCAUUUUUGGUACGUUUCAGUCCUUUUCUUCUUCAUUUACAACAGUUUCUACCUCAUAAAAGUUGCUUCUCUAUAGAUUGUAGUCUUUGUCAUUUAUAAUGUCUUUUUUGGCUUUCUUUAACUUUUUAGUUUGUUUUCCCCUCAUUCUAUCAUGUUUUAUAUUAAAAUAUGAACUUGUGCUUUCUUACUA
This is a long non-coding RNA of Bubalus bubalis (water buffalo), 757 nucleotides long. RefSeq lists it as uncharacterized. Lineage: Eukaryota; Metazoa; Chordata; Mammalia; Artiodactyla; Bovidae. The transcript is spliced from 4 exons. The record is from RefSeq and is a predicted model, not a curated record.